RNAcentral lists this ribosomal RNA (330 nucleotides) under uncultured bacterium. RNAcentral's name for it is "bacterial SSU rRNA". It matches the Rfam family "Bacterial small subunit ribosomal RNA", at positions 568 to 898 of the family's 1533-position model. The record is from RNAcentral.
CGCGUAGGCGGAUGCUUAAGUCAGAGGUGAAAGCCCAGGGCUCAACCUUGGAACUGCCUUUGAUACUGGGCAUCUUGAGUGCGGGAGAGGUGAGUGGAACUCCGAGUGUAGAGGUGAAAUUCGUAGAUAUUCGGAAGAACACCAGUGGCGAAGGCGACUCACUGGCCCGUUACUGACGCUGAGGCGCGAAAGCGUGGGGAGCAAACAGGAUUAGAUACCCUGGUAGUCCACGCCGUAAACGAUGAGUGCUAGUUGUCGGCAUGCAUGCAUGUCGGUGACGCAGCUAACGCAUUAAGCACUCCGCCUGGGGAGUACGGUCGUAAGAUUAAA